Molecule: long non-coding RNA, 1890 nt
Filed under: Mus musculus (house mouse)
Lineage: Eukaryota; Metazoa; Chordata; Mammalia; Rodentia; Muridae
Description: novel transcript
Source: RNAcentral
GGCUUCUUGAUCCUAUGUGUUGUAUUGAGUGUUGGUCACUGGUCUUUGGGAAGCUUGGACAGAAGUGGGGCAGCCAUGGAGCUGCUGACUGGGACUGGCCUGUGGCCCGUGGUCAUAGUCACAGUCAUCUUCAUAUUACUGGUGGACAUGUUGCACCGGUGCCAGCGCUGGACUUCUUGCUGCCCACCAGACCCUGUGCCAUGGCCUGUGCUGGGUAACCUGCUGCAGGUGGACCUGGAUAACAUGCCAUAUAACUUGUACAAGCUUCACAACCGCUAUGGUGACGUGUUCAGCCUGCAGAUGGGCUGGAACCACAUGGCCGUGAUCAACGGACUGAAGGUGUGGUCCUUGCUCCUUAUGGGCCUGAGUGGAAAGAGCAGAGGUGAUUCUCUGCGUCGACCCUGUGCAACUUCAGCCUGGGCAAGAAAUCACUGGAGCAGUGGGUGAUGGAAGAGGUUGGACACCUCUUUGAUGUCUUCACUGCCCAUGCUGGGAGUCCCCUCAAUCCUUACCCUCUCUUGGACAAAGCCGUGUGCAAUGUGAUUGUGUCUCUCAUUUAUGCCCAUCGCUUCGAGUAUGGAGACCCUGACUUCAUCAAGAUGCUAAAAAGGAGGCUGUAGACAAGAGAUUUGGAAAGAACACAUCUAGAAGUGUCCACCACAGUAAUAGGAGCCUGGAGAUUGACAUACAGCAAAAGGAAGUGAGAAGCUGACCAAGGUCAGGGCUUCUAGAAGCUGAGACCCUGGCCCUCUGCCCACAUGGAACAUCUGUGAGAUUUUCCAGGGUUGGCUGACAAAGUCUUCCCUGGGCAAAAGACAUUUCUCAUAAUGGUGGAUAAGCUGGUGACUGAGCACAAGAGGACCUGGAACUCGGACCAGCCGCCUCGAGACCUGACUGAUGCCUUUAUGGCUGAGAUGGAGAAGGCAAAGGGAAACCCUGAGAGUAGCUUCAAUGAUGCAAAUCUAUGUCUGGUUGUCCUUGACCUGCUGGGUGCUGCAACUGUGACCACCUCAACCACACUGUCCUGGGCCCUGCUGCUUAUGAUCCUGCAUCCGGAUGUGCAGUGUGAGCCUGGCUGGGGCUGUCAAGAAAGGAGGAGGAGGGUAGAGGCAAACUCCUUAAACUUACUUGGGACACUUGUAGAUCCCAGCAUUGAGUUAACCCAGACUGCAGUAAGUAUGGUUGCCUUAUUUCUCCCAUGGACCCAGCCCUUAACAGAGAGGUAGUGGAUGGACAAGGGGCACCCACUGAAGCAUCUUAACUGAUGGGAAAAUGUCCUUCCAGGCCAAGUACAACAGGAAAUCGAUGAGGUCAUUUGGUAUGUGUGGCUUCCAGAGAUGGCAGACCAGGUCUGCAUGCCCUUCACCAAUGCUGUCAUUCAUGAGGGCAUGACUCUCAUCUCCAACCUGUUCCGUGCUGAAGGAUGAGACUGUCUGGGAGAAGCCCCUUCGCUUCCAUCCUGAACACUUCCUGGAUGCCCAGGGCCACUUUGUGAAGCCUGAGGCCUUCAUGCCAUUCUCAGCAGGUGCCUCUAGGGUGCCUUCCUGCCUAUCUUUCCCUAGGGUGCCUUGGAGGGUGGAGCACCAAUCAGGUCCCAGACUGAGCCCUCUUCUACACAUAGGCCACAGAUCAUGCCUGGGGGAGCCCCUGGCCCUCAUGGAGCUCUUCCUCUUCUUCACCUGCCUCCUGCAGCGCUUUAGCUUCUCAAUGCCAGCUGGACAAUCCCUUCCCAGUGAUUAUGGCAUCUAUACAAUGCCAGUUACUCCAGCACCUACCAGCUCUGUGCAGUGGUUUGCUAGCAGGGGCAGUGGCUCCAGCCAUCAUCACAGAUUGUUCUGACUGAUGUCCAAUAAACAAGUUUUGUGUCUGAAUCUCAGAUUCUAAGUCCAA